Molecule: ribosomal RNA, 243 nt
Filed under: uncultured bacterium
Lineage: Bacteria
Description: partial 16S ribosomal RNA
Rfam family: Bacterial small subunit ribosomal RNA
Source: RNAcentral
GCCUCCUACGGGAGGCAGCAGUGGGGAAUAUUGGGCAAUGGAGGAAACUCUGACCCAGCAAUGCCGCGUGAAUGAAGAAGGUCUUCGGAUUGUAAAGUUCUUUAGUCAGGGAAGAAGUCAAUGACGGUACCUGAAGAAUAAGCUCCGGCUAACUACGUGCCAGCAGCCGCGGUAAUACGUAGGGAGCAAGCGUUGUUCGGAAUGACUGGGCGUAAUGGUUGCGUAGGCGGUUGUACAAGUUUG